AUCUCGCAAAAACUCCGGUUCCGCAGCGCCGUUCAUACCCGCCUGACGAAUGCUUGCUAGGUCCUGGUAGCC
Small RNA from Xanthomonas oryzae pv. oryzae, 72 nucleotides. It matches the Rfam family "Xanthomonas sRNA sX9". Lineage: Bacteria; Pseudomonadati; Pseudomonadota; Gammaproteobacteria; Lysobacterales; Lysobacteraceae. The record is from Rfam.